This 514-nucleotide ribosomal RNA is filed under the name uncultured bacterium. Its description in RNAcentral is "partial 16S ribosomal RNA". It matches the Rfam family "Bacterial small subunit ribosomal RNA", at positions 28 to 523 of the family's 1533-position model. The record is from RNAcentral.
GAUGAACGCUGGCGGCGUGCCUAAUACAUGCAAGUCGAGCGAACUGAUUAGAAGCUUGCUUCUAUGACGUUAGCGGCGGACGGGUGAGUAACACGUGGGCAACCUGCCUGUAAGACUGGGAUAACUCCGGGAAACCGGAGCUAAUACCGGAUAAUAUUUUCUCUUGCAUAAGAGAAAAUUGAAAGAUGGUUUCGGCUAUCACUUACAGAUGGGCCCGCGGUGCAUUAGCUAGUUGGUGGGGUAACGGCUCACCAAGGCAACGAUGCAUAGCCGACCUGAGAGGGUGAUCGGCCACACUGGGACUGAGACACGGCCCAGACUCCUACGGGAGGCAGCAGUAGGGAAUCUUCCGCAAUGGACGAAAGUCUGACGGAGCAACGCCGCGUGAGUGAUGAAGGCUUUCGGGUCGUAAAACUCUGUUGUUAGAGAGGAACAAGUACAAGAGUAACUGCUUGUACCUUGACGGUACCUAACCAGAAAGCCACGGCUAACUACGUGCCAGCAGCCGCAGUAA